GACAGAGGAGGCGAGCGUUAUCCGGAUUUAUUGGGCGUAAAGGGCACGCAGGCGGCUUGGUUAGUCUGGGGUUAAAGCUCCUGGCUUAACUGGGAGAGGGCCUUCGAUACUGCGGGGCUGGAGGUUGGAAGAGGGGUGUGGAAUUCCCGGUGUAGUGGUGGAAUGCGUAGAUAUCGGGAGGAACACCUGUGGCGAAGGCGGCACCCUGGUCCACACCUGACGCUGAGGUGCGAAAGCGUGGGGAGCAAACAGG
RNAcentral lists this ribosomal RNA (253 nucleotides) under uncultured bacterium. Its description in RNAcentral is "partial 16S ribosomal RNA". It matches the Rfam family "Bacterial small subunit ribosomal RNA", at positions 524 to 776 of the family's 1533-position model. The record is from RNAcentral.